This 490-nucleotide ribosomal RNA is filed under the name uncultured bacterium. RNAcentral's name for it is "bacterial SSU rRNA". It matches the Rfam family "Bacterial small subunit ribosomal RNA", at positions 975 to 1463 of the family's 1533-position model. The record is from RNAcentral.
CUACCCUUGAACAUGUCCGAGAGGCCGAAGAGAUUCGGCUGUGCCCGAAAGGGAAUCGGAACACAGGUGCUGCAUGGCUGUCGUCAGCUCGUGUCGUGAGAUGUUCGGGUUAAGUCCCGCAACGAGCGCAACCCUUGUCAUUAGUUGCUACAUUCAGUUGGGCACUCUAAUGAGACUGCCGGUGACAAACCGGAGGAAGGUGGGGAUGACGUCAAGUCCUCAUGGCCCUUAUGGGUAGGGCUUCACACGUAAUACAAUGGCGCGUACAGAGGGUUGCCAAGGAGCGAUCUGGAGCCAAUCCCGUAAAGCGCGUCGUAGUCCGGAUUGCAGUCUGCAACUCGACUGCAUGAAGUCGGAAUCGCUAGUAAUCGCGGAUCAGCAUGUCGCGGUGAAUACGUUCCCGGGUCUUGUACACACCGCCCGUCACACCAUGGGAGUGGGUUUCACCAGAAGCCGGUCGCCUAACCGCAAGGAGGGCGCCGACCACGGU